CGGACGGGUGAGUAGUGCGUAGGAAUUUACCUCAAAGCGGGGGAUAGCCCGGAGAAAUCCGGAUUAAUACCGCAUGUGCUCUACGGAGGAAAGCGGGCCUCUUCUUGAAAGCUCGCACUUUGAGAUAAGCCUACGUCGGAUUAGCUUGUUGGUAGGGUAAAAGCCUACCAAGGCGACGAUCCGUAGCUGGUUUGAGAGGAUGAUCAGCCACACUGGGACUGAGACACGGCCCAG
This 234-nucleotide ribosomal RNA is filed under the name uncultured bacterium. Its description in RNAcentral is "partial 16S ribosomal RNA". It matches the Rfam family "Bacterial small subunit ribosomal RNA", at positions 99 to 334 of the family's 1533-position model. The record is from RNAcentral.